AACGCACAUUGCGCUCUCUGGUAUUCCGGAGAGCAUGCCUGUUUGAGCGUCAUUAAAACCUCUCAAUCAUUUGAAUGUUUGCGCAUGCGAAUGGUUGGUGUUGGACACUGUGCGCAGCGCCUUUUGGGGGAGCUGUGCUUGUCUGAAAGAUAUUGCAACGAAAACGUAAUAAGAAAUUACCUCGUGAUCGGAUUGCACAUUCUGGGCGGCAGAUCUGAUCGAUCUGGCGUCUACUUCUAAUUUUGACCUCAAAUCAGGUAGGACUACGCGCUGAACUUAA
This 280-nucleotide unclassified non-coding RNA is filed under the name Archaeorhizomyces sp. RNAcentral's name for it is "partial contains 5.8S ribosomal RNA, internal transcribed spacer 2, and large subunit ribosomal RNA". The stretch from base 1 to 52 matches the Rfam family "5.8S ribosomal RNA", at positions 103 to 154 of the family's 154-position model. The record is from RNAcentral. Lineage: Eukaryota; Fungi; Ascomycota; Archaeorhizomycetes; Archaeorhizomycetales; Archaeorhizomycetaceae.